Molecule: long non-coding RNA, 559 nt
Organism: Canis lupus familiaris (dog)
Lineage: Eukaryota; Metazoa; Chordata; Mammalia; Carnivora; Canidae
Exons: 3
Source: RefSeq, a predicted model, not a curated record
GGGAUACCUGUGAUGACCUUCAUUUGAAAGAGACACUUGGGCCAAUGGUGAACCAUAUGGAUAGUCCCCAAACCCACGGGCUUUAAGAUGAACAAAGAAGGGCAACACAGUGUCAAGAGCAAAGGCCAGUAAACUAAUUUGAAUUAUAGACAUCCGUCUUCAAGCCAUGGGAGCUGACCGCUGGCAGCCAUAUUGAAGUGAAGAUUGGAGUCCAGAAGACCACAGAGGUGAAGUGUCAGUCUUACCACAUCGUAUCAAGAGUACAUGCUAUGAGUAUAACUCAUCCCUGUUGAUGUUAACCUUGACCAUCUGAGCAUCUGAGGUCAUGUUUGCUACGUUUCUUGGCCAUGAAGUUCCCUUUUUCCCCCUUUCCAUCCUCUGUUUUUUGGAAGCAAGUUUCUAAAUGCAGCUCACACUCAACGGAUGGGGAAUUAAGCUCCCUUCUUAAGGGAGAAGGGAAGUAUCUACAGGAAUUAACUGAAGAGGAACAUUUCAUUAAUAGUCCCAUGAACUAAAAGAGAAGUUUCCAUGAUCAACUACAGUUAAGAAAUACUAAGUU